GCCAGGCAAGGUGGCACAUGCCUGUAGUUCCAGCUACUCAGGAGGCUGAGUCAGGAAGACUGCUUGAGCCCAAGAGUUAAGGGCCAACCUGGGCAAUAUAAUGAAACCUCCUCUCUU
This 117-nucleotide small RNA is filed under the name Marmota monax (woodchuck). The record is from RNAcentral. Lineage: Eukaryota; Metazoa; Chordata; Mammalia; Rodentia; Sciuridae.